Molecule: long non-coding RNA, 443 nt
Organism: Oncorhynchus tshawytscha (Chinook salmon)
Lineage: Eukaryota; Metazoa; Chordata; Actinopteri; Salmoniformes; Salmonidae
Source: Ensembl
UGUGUGUGUGUGUGUGUGUGUGUGUGUGUGUGUGUGUGUGUGUGUGUGUGUGUGUACCUCAAUAACAUUCUUGCCAGGAUGGUUGGCAGCGAUGAGUUUAUCUCCAUCAUCAUUCAGCUUGGUGACAGUGGCCUCCUUGGACUCCAGACACUUACUGAUGAAGUUCUGGUGGGAGAUUUAAAAGAGAUACAAGUCUCUCUUCACGUUCCAACACACGUAACGUGUAGGAUCAGGUGUCAGAUAACGUGUAGGAUCAGGUGUCAGAUAACGUGUAGGAUCAGGUGUCAGAUAACGUGUAGGAUCAGGUGUCAGAUAACGUGUAGGAUCAGGUGUCAGAUAACAUGUAGGAUCAGGUGUCAGAUAACAUGUAGGAUCAGGUGUCAGAUAACAUGUAGGAUCAGGUGUCAGAUAACGUGUAGGAUCAGGUGUCAGAUAACGUGUAG